GAUAAAGUGGCUGAAUAUAGGCGAUAGAUUGUAAAUUUAUUUAUAAGCAUUAGCUUUUUUAUCA
This 64-nucleotide transfer RNA is filed under the name Chionoecetes bairdi. Its description in RNAcentral is "tRNA-Tyr". The record is from RNAcentral. Lineage: Eukaryota; Metazoa; Arthropoda; Malacostraca; Decapoda; Majidae.